GAUCUUUAUUUUUGUUAAUUAUAAAUUAAAAAGAAUAAUUAAAUUUAUAUUUUAAUAAAAAAUUUUACUGGGGUGGUAUUAAAAUUUAAAAAACUUUUAUUUUCAAUUUACAUUAAUUUAUGAAUAUUUGAUCCAGUUAUAUUGAUUAAAAAAUUAAGUUACCUUAGGGAUAACAGCGUAAUUUUUUUUUAGAGUUCUUAUCGACAAAAAAGAUUGC
This 217-nucleotide ribosomal RNA is filed under the name Aedes aegypti (yellow fever mosquito). Its description in RNAcentral is "partial 16S ribosomal RNA". Lineage: Eukaryota; Metazoa; Arthropoda; Insecta; Diptera; Culicidae. The record is from RNAcentral.